CCUGGCGGCCGUAGCGCGGUGGUCCCACCUGACCCCAUGCCGAACUCAGAAGUGAAACGCCGUAGCGCCGAUGGUAGUGUGGGGUCUCCCCAUGCGAGAGUAGGGAACUGCCAGGA
RNAcentral lists this ribosomal RNA (116 nucleotides) under Escherichia coli. Lineage: Bacteria; Pseudomonadati; Pseudomonadota; Gammaproteobacteria; Enterobacterales; Enterobacteriaceae. The record is from RNAcentral.